AUCCAGCUGACUAGUCCCAAAUAGAACGAAACGCGUGUCCUGGAU
Molecule: non-coding RNA, 45 nt
Filed under: Schistosoma mansoni
Lineage: Eukaryota; Metazoa; Platyhelminthes; Trematoda; Strigeidida; Schistosomatidae
Source: RNAcentral